Gadus macrocephalus (Pacific cod) is the source of this 985-nucleotide long non-coding RNA. RefSeq lists it as uncharacterized. The transcript is spliced from 2 exons. The record is from RefSeq and is a predicted model, not a curated record. Lineage: Eukaryota; Metazoa; Chordata; Actinopteri; Gadiformes; Gadidae.
UUCCGGUAUUUUGAACAUUGAGCCCCCUUUCUGGUUUGUUUAGGAUGAAAUAGAGUGGGUGACACCGAAAUUUGAACUAUUAGUCCUUUCUCGGGUAUUUGGCUCAUUUUGAAUCGCUCCUGCCUGCUUCACAAUGGUUGUCUGUGUGCAUACACAAACCUGUCAACCCAGCAACCCUAAACGUUCGUUUUCAAAAAUGUGCAAGUAACCGAGUGGUUAGUGGCAUUCGUGAAGUUUAAAAAAAAAAUAUCGGCGCAAUAUAUGUUUUCCAUCCGUGUUAGUUGCUAAAUUGAACUAUUUUUUCAGAUACCUCACAACCGCAUAUAAACUUCCGCACAAGGUCCCACUCCGUGCAGCACCUACUUUCGACUUCCGUCGGCAUCUGCCUGCACUUCCCACAGGCACACCACCCGCCCGCGCCUCCGUAGCCCUAGCCUCCAUCUCACGUAGCUCCUCUUGGGUGAAUUCUGGUUCAAAACGAUAUCCUCUGCCGUCAAAAUCGAGUGCGUCCUCCAGAAGCCACCUUUCAUAAUCCAUUUUCAGUGAUUUUCUAUGUGAUUUUCCCUAAUCCGAAGUGCUCACGGUACAAGACUUCAAACCAACGUAAACAGCCCACCUUUCCGGUUCGGCGGAGUAAUAUCAUCGUGCAGUAAUGAGUCUUCCAACUGAAAUCAACUGGCGAUAAAUAUGCAAUAAAACACGACAGAAACCAUAUAUUGCGCCGAUAUUUUUUUUUUAAACUUCACGAAUGUCACUAACCACUCGGUUACUUGCACAUUUUUGAAAACGAACGUUUAGGGUUGCUGGGUUGACAGGUUUGUGUAUGCACACAGACAACCAGUGUGAAGCAGGCAGGAGCGAUUCAAAAUGAGCCAAAUACCCGAGAAAGGACUAAUAGUUCAAAUUUCGGUGUCACCCACUCUAUUUCAUCCUAAACAAACCAGAAAGGGGGCUCAAUGUUCAAAAUACCGGAAUUGUCCUUUAA